GCAAGUCGAACGGUAUUGUUUUUCUAUUUUAUAGGAGAGCAAGAGAGUGGCGAACGGGUGAGUAACACGUAGGUAAUCUGCCUAUCAAACUGGGAUAGCCAGUGGAAACAUGGGUAAUACCGGAUACGUGCUAAGCAAGGAAUUGUUUAGCACAAAGGGUACGUAAGUGCCGUUGAUAGAGGGGCCUGCGUCUGAUUAGCUAGUUGGUAGGGUAAAGGCCUACCAAGGCAGUGACCAAUAGCCGGCCUGAGAGGGUGAAC
This 260-nucleotide ribosomal RNA is filed under the name uncultured bacterium. RNAcentral's name for it is "partial 16S ribosomal RNA". It matches the Rfam family "Bacterial small subunit ribosomal RNA", at positions 57 to 305 of the family's 1533-position model. The record is from RNAcentral.